GUAUUUAAACUUUUAAAUGCUUUCUUAGGGCAUUAAAGAUAGAUAUCAUUCAUGGACAUUCGUAUGUAAAAAUGACAUAGUCUCCAAAAGAGGAGACUACAAUAGUGCACAGGGGUGUGGAUAUGAAGGUCAAGGCGUGCACAUACUCCCGAGAGAGUCAGCAUCAACCUCGAUUCAAAUCAAUAAUGAUCCUUCCGCAGGUUCACCUACGGAAA
This 215-nucleotide unclassified non-coding RNA is filed under the name uncultured fungus. RNAcentral's name for it is "sequence contains ITS1". Lineage: Eukaryota; Fungi. The record is from RNAcentral.